GAUGGGUUCCGAGGAUGAAUGUGCAGCAACCAAGUGAAGAAAGCUGCCAAAUCCAGGUUACUGCCCAUCAUUGUGAAGUCAAGGCAGUGUCAAACAGCAAGGCACGUCACGUCUGCGGAGAGACACAAAGUGGCUUACAAGCAUCCAUCCUCUGCCUGCUGUGGUAACAUGCAAGGAUACAUGUCCGUUGACAUUUGGAGGCGUGGUCAGAGUCAUGACAUUCCUGCUUCUGCUGCAUGCUGAGAACUUAAGAACAGGACACACUAAGCGGUGGCAGGAAAGCAACUCAAGGGUGAAAGGAUGAUUCUGACUUGGCUCAGGGUAUGGUCCAUCAUGGCAGCCAGUUCCAGCAGCAACAGCUUGAACUUCUGUUGUGUCUCCAUCAACUUUGGAAGCAGAUAGGACAAGAGCACUUUUGCAUUAUUCAGGAGGGCCGGUGAAAUCUGAGAGGAAUUGACUGACCAUAGGGUUCCACGUUUGAGCAUUGUUGCCGGACUGCAAACAUCAAGUUGGAGAAGUCAUUUGACAAACACGUUUUUUCUCCCUUUCUAUGUGUGCCUUCUGGUGCUUUUAGAACUUUUAUGCAUUUGUUGUAUGAUCUGGC
This is a long non-coding RNA of Mus musculus (house mouse), 604 nucleotides long. RefSeq annotates it as RIKEN cDNA 4930448H16 gene. The record is from RefSeq and is marked predicted. The transcript has 5 exons. Lineage: Eukaryota; Metazoa; Chordata; Mammalia; Rodentia; Muridae.